Molecule: ribosomal RNA, 486 nt
Filed under: uncultured bacterium
Lineage: Bacteria
Description: partial 16S ribosomal RNA
Rfam family: Bacterial small subunit ribosomal RNA
Source: RNAcentral
AUUGAACGCUGGCGGCAUGCCUUACACAUGCAAGUCGAACGGCAGCACGGGUGCUUGCACCUGGUGGCGAGUGGCGAACGGGUGAGUAAUACAUCGGCACAUGUCCUGUAGUGGGGGAUAGCCCGGCGAAAGCCGGAUUAAUACCGCAUACGAUCCACGGAUGAAAGCGGGGGACCUUCGGGCCUCGCGCUAUAGGGUUGGCCGAUGGCUGAUUAGCUAGUUGGUGGGGUAAAGGCCUACCAAGGCGACGAUCAGUAGCUGGUCUGAGAGGACGACCAGCCACACUGGGACUGAGACACGGCCCAGACUCCUACGGGAGGCAGCAGUGGGGAAUUUUGGACAAUGGGCGAAAGCCUGAUCCAGCAAUGCCGCGUGUGUGAAGAAGGCCUUCGGGUUGUAAAGCACUUUUGUCCGGAAAGAAAUCCUUGACUCUAAUACAGUCGGGGGAUGACGGUACCGGAAGAAUAAGCACCGGCUAACUACGUG